RNAcentral lists this ribosomal RNA (594 nucleotides) under uncultured fungus. RNAcentral's name for it is "eukaryotic LSU rRNA". The stretch from base 213 to 366 matches the Rfam family "5.8S ribosomal RNA". Lineage: Eukaryota; Fungi. The record is from RNAcentral.
GGGAAGUAAAAGUCGGUAACAAGGUUUCCGUAGGUAUGCUCGCUGAUAGUGCUCGCUGGGGUGCGGGCUGCCUCCGGGCGCCCAACCUCCCACCCGUGAAUACCUAACACUGUUGCUUCGGCGGGGAACCCCCUCGGGGGAUGCUCGUGAUAGUGCUCGUAGAUGCUCGUGAUGAUGUGAUGCAGUCUGAGUCUGAAUAUAAAAUCAGUCAAAACUUUCAACAAUGGAUCUCUUGGUAUGCUCGUAGUAGUCGCUCGUGAAUGUCUGCGAUAAGUAAUGUGAAUUGCAGAAUUCAGUGAAUCAUCGAGUCUUUGAACGCACAUUGCGCCCCCUGGCAUUCCGGGGGGCAUGCCUGUCCGAGCGUCAUUGCUGCCCAUCAAGCCCGGCUUGUGUGUUGGGUCGUCGUCCCCCCCGGGGGACGGGCCCGAAAGGCAGCGGCGGCACCGUGUCCGGUCCUCGAGCGUAUGGGGCUUUGUCACCCGAUGCUCUAGGGCCGGCCGGGCGCCAGCCGACGUCAUGCUGCUCGUAGAUGCUCGCUGUAGAUGCCUCAGGUAGGGAUACCCGCUGAACUUAAGCAUAUCAAUAAGCGGAGGA